RNAcentral lists this ribosomal RNA (408 nucleotides) under uncultured bacterium. RNAcentral's name for it is "partial 16S ribosomal RNA". It matches the Rfam family "Bacterial small subunit ribosomal RNA", at positions 28 to 526 of the family's 1533-position model. The record is from RNAcentral.
GACGAACGCUGGCGGCGUGCCUAAUACAUGCAAGUCGAACGGAGUGGCGCACGGGUGAGUAAUAUAUAGCUAAUCUGCCCCUUGCUGGAGGACAACAGUUAGAAAUGACUGCUAAUACUCCAUAGCAAGGGAUGAGACUAUAUCGUAUCAGCUAGUCGGUGGGGUAACGGCCUACCGAGGCUAUGACGCGUAACAGGUCUGAGAGGAUGAUCAGUCACAUUGUAACUGAGACACGGGCCAGACUCCUACGGCAGGGGGCAGUAGGGAGUAUUGCGCAAGGGGGGAAAGCCUGACGCAGCAACGGCGCGUGGAGGAUGACACUUUUCGGAGAGUAAACGCAUUUUUUUAGGGAAGCGGUACCUAACGAAUAAGCACCGGCUAACUCCGUGCCAGCAGCCGCGGUAAUAC